This 497-nucleotide ribosomal RNA is filed under the name uncultured bacterium. RNAcentral describes it as "partial 16S ribosomal RNA". It matches the Rfam family "Bacterial small subunit ribosomal RNA", at positions 28 to 507 of the family's 1533-position model. The record is from RNAcentral.
GAUGAACGCUGGCGGCGUGCCUAAUACAUGCAAGUCGAGCGAACGGACGAGAAGUUUGCUUCUCUGAUGUUAGCGGCGGACGGGUGAGUAACACGUGGAUAACCUACCUAUAAGACUGGGAUAACUUCGGGAAACCGGAGCUAAUACCGGAUAAUAUUUUGAACCGCAUGGUUCAAAAGUGAAAGACGGUCUUGCUGUCACUUAUAGAUGGAUCCGCGCUGCAUUAGCUAGUUGGUAAGGUAACGGCUUACCAAGGCAACGAUGCAUAGCCGACCUGAGAGGGUGAUCGGCCACACUGGAACUGAGACACGGUCCAGACUCCUACGGGAGGCAGCAGUAGGGAAUCUUCCGCAGUGGGCGAAAGCCUGACGGAGCAGCGCCGCGUGAGUGAUGAAGGUCUUCGGAUCGUGAAACUCUGUUAUUAGGGAAGAACAUAUGUGUAAGUAACUGUGCACAUCUUGACGGUACCUAAUCAGAAAGCCACGGCUAACUACGUG